CUAUGCGCCUUGCCAGCCCGCUCAGUCAGAGUUUGAUCCUGGCUCAGAGUGAACGCUGGCGGUAGGCCUAACACAUGCAAGUCGAACGGCAGCACAGGAGAGCUUGCUCUCUGGGUGGCGAGUGGCGGACGGGUGAGGAAUACAUCGGAAUCUACUCUGUCGUGGGGGAUAACGUAGGGAAACUUACGCUAAUACCGCAUACGACCUACGGGUGAAAGCAGGGGGAUCUUCGGACCUUGCGCGAUUGAAUGAGCCGAUGUCGGAUUAGCUAGUUGGCGGGGUAAAGGCCCACCAAGGCGACGAUCCGUAGCUGGUCUGAGAGGAUGAUCAGCCACACUGGAACUGAGACACGGUCCAG
RNAcentral lists this ribosomal RNA (358 nucleotides) under uncultured bacterium. Its description in RNAcentral is "bacterial SSU rRNA". It matches the Rfam family "Bacterial small subunit ribosomal RNA", at positions 1 to 334 of the family's 1533-position model. The record is from RNAcentral.